This 253-nucleotide ribosomal RNA is filed under the name uncultured bacterium. Its description in RNAcentral is "partial 16S ribosomal RNA". It matches the Rfam family "Bacterial small subunit ribosomal RNA", at positions 524 to 776 of the family's 1533-position model. The record is from RNAcentral.
UACGAAGGGUGCAAGCGUUAAUCGGAAUUACUGGGCGUAAAGCGUGCGUAGACGGCCUUUUAAGUCUGCUGUGAAAGCCCUGGGCUCAACCUGGGAACUGCAGUGGAUACUGAGAGGCUGGAGUGCGGUAGAGGAUGGUGGAAUUCCCGGUGUAGCGGUGAAAUGCGUAGAGAUCGGGAGGAACAUCAGUGGCGAAGGCGGCCAUCUGGACCAGCACUGACGUUGAGGCACGAAAGCGUGGGGAGCAAACAGG